AUGACCUCAUGUUACUCUUAGAUGCUGGGUCUAGACCAAGUUGGUUACCAUGCUAUGAGGAGAGGCCCAUGUGGCAAGGAAUUUGGCCUCCUGCCGCAAGCCAAUUAGGAACUGAGGCCUUCUGCAAUAACGAAGUUAAGUGAAGCAUUUGGAAAUGGAUCUUCCUUCUACAACCAACCUUCAUAUAAGCUCCCACUUAUAUGUAGCUCUCACUAAGUCUGACAGCAACAAAAUGAGACAUUCUAAGCCAGAACUACCCAGCUAAACCACUCCCAGAUUUCUGGACUCCCAAUCUACUCCAACAUUUACUAUUCUCUUGGACCUCUUUGAUGUGAUAGAAGAGGAGUCUCAAAAUCAAAUGUCUUCUGUGGCCAGGAAGAUGAACUAAAUGUACUAAGCAAAAUCAUCUGAGUAAUCAGGCAAUAGAGAGAAUGAAAAAUGCAAAAAUGCAAAGAGCUAUCAAGUGAUACCAUGCCAAAAUGUAUUCACAUUCAAAUGUAUUUUUAACCGUCUCUGGAUCAAGUUUUCAGCCAGAUCUGUUCCUUACAUUAACAGUUUGGUUUACAGAAUAGAGCACGGUGGUUAAAAUCUACUGUGACAGUCAAAACAGACUCCAAGCUCCAGCUCUGCCACUUGCUGACUUUAGUAACACAGGCCUUGUCAUACGUGGAUUAAUGUGAGCCUUAGACCCCUUUCUAAUCAGAGGGUAAUAAUAGCAGUACUUCUGCAUAGGUCAUAAUAAAGACCAAAUAAUGGGGUAACCUGUGUAAAUUGAUUUGAACAAUGCCUGAUGCACAGUGAUUUCUCAAUAAAUAUUAACUAUUAUUAGUAUUAAUGAAUCUUAACUAAGUUUUCCAAAGAGACUUACAAUUUAGUGUUCAAAUUUAUUCUUAGUAGGAUCUAGAAAGGUUUAUUUCAAAUUAAAUGUUUACUGGGAUAUUAGUAUUACAAUCUAUGCUUGCAGUUAAUCAUACAAGGAUAAUAUAUGUGAUCAUGUAUUAAGUACAAUGUAUUAUACAUUAGCAAUGGUAACUUCCUGAUGACUGAUGGCUAGUCCGUUAUUCCAUAAUGGCAUCUAUAUAUUUUCCAUCAUAUUCACAGAGUGCCUGUGAUUUCUUUAUUUUCAGAAUUACUUUCCCUUCAAAGUGUGCUGCUCUGGAUAUAUUUCCCUGGAAAGUCAUUUUAAAAAUAUUUGAUGAUUCUGCAGACCCCUCUUUAUUAAAAAAAAACUAUAAAUAUUCAACUCUAAAUGUAAAUAAACAUUUAAAUGCAAUGAUGGCAAAGUUUCUUCUGGAAGUGACCGUUGAAAUGAAAAUGACGCAGGAUUAUGGUUCAUUUUAUAUGUUAUUUUAUCUAUUUGCCAUGUUAAUAAAUUUCUGUUGACAGGAUAAACCUGUUGGCUGCUGUUUCUCUUGCUAACAGCCUAUUUAUAUGCACCAUAUAAAUGUUUUAUGGGUAGAUUUCCCAUCAUAACUUGACUUAGAGCAAAAUAAAGAUAUUACAUUGCUGAAGGACAUCUUCUAUGGUCACAGUCUCUUGAUGACUUUUAAAAGAAGGAAUUUAAUUUCUCAAAACAUCAUAAAAUGGUAUUUCUUUUCCUGAAAUAUCUGUUGAUCAUUUGUACAGCAAUUUCUCUAUGCAAACCUUUCAUAUGAAUAUUUUAUAUAGCCUCAUCAUAAUAUUAAUAUGAUAUUAUUAAUUUAUAAUAUUAAUUUAUUCAAUAAAUAUUUAUUAAUGAACCACUCUAUGCCAGACCCUGAGGAUACAAUGGUAAACAAUACCGUCAUGGUCUCUGACUGUGAAGUGUGCUAUCUAAUGGGGAAGGCAUUCAUUAAAAAAAAAAAGAAUUAUGCCAAAUAUGAUUUAAUUAUUUUCAAU
Molecule: long non-coding RNA, 1878 nt
Organism: Felis catus (domestic cat)
Lineage: Eukaryota; Metazoa; Chordata; Mammalia; Carnivora; Felidae
Exons: 2
Source: RefSeq, a predicted model, not a curated record